GUGCUCCCUCGGCAGCACAGAUACUGAAGUUGGACAACACAGAAAAGAUUACCAUGGCCCCUGCGAGAGGAUGACACACACCUGUGAAGUGUCCCAUGUUUUC
Molecule: small nuclear RNA, 103 nt
Organism: Nycticebus coucang (slow loris)
Lineage: Eukaryota; Metazoa; Chordata; Mammalia; Primates; Lorisidae
Source: RefSeq, a predicted model, not a curated record